UACGGGGGGGGCAAGCGUUGUUCGGAAUUACUGGGCGUAAAGGGCUUGUAGGUGGCCAACUAAGUCAGACGUGAAAUCCCUCGGCUUAACCGGGGAACUGCGUCUGAUACUGGAUGGCUUGAGUGUGGGAGAGGGAUGCGGAAUUCCAGGUGUAGCGGUGAAAUGCGUAGAUAUCUGGAGGAACACCGGAGGCGAAGGCGGCAUCCUGGACCAUUACUGACACUGAAAAGCGAAAGCCAGGGGAGCAAACGGG
RNAcentral lists this ribosomal RNA (253 nucleotides) under uncultured bacterium. Its description in RNAcentral is "partial 16S ribosomal RNA". It matches the Rfam family "Bacterial small subunit ribosomal RNA", at positions 524 to 776 of the family's 1533-position model. The record is from RNAcentral.